GUCCCAGUUCGGACUGCAGUCUGCAACUCGACUGCACGAAGCUGGAAUCGCUAGUAAUCGCGAAUCAGAAUGUCGCGGUGAGUACGUUCCCGGGUCUUGUACACACCGCCCGUCACACCAUGGGAGUCGGUAACGCCCGAAGUCAGUGACCCAACCGUAAGGAGGGAGCUGCCGAAGGCGGGACUGGUAACUGGGGUGAAGUCGUAACAAGGUACC
Molecule: ribosomal RNA, 216 nt
Filed under: uncultured bacterium
Lineage: Bacteria
Description: partial 16S ribosomal RNA
Rfam family: Bacterial small subunit ribosomal RNA
Source: RNAcentral